RNAcentral lists this transfer-messenger RNA (390 nucleotides) under Microgenomates group bacterium ADurb.Bin238. Its description in RNAcentral is "transfer-messenger RNA, SsrA". It matches the Rfam family "transfer-messenger RNA". Rfam says of the family: Bacterial tmRNA, also known as 10Sa RNA or SsrA, is named for its dual tRNA and mRNA-like properties. The record is from RNAcentral.
GGGGACGUCAGGAUUUUGACGUGGAUGAACUUUGACAGCAGCAAGUCGAGCCAAGCACAACUCGUAAAACGGCUUAAAAAAACAACUGAGGAUAAAAUCAUCUCAGCCAGCGACUCACCUUUAGGUGAGCCCGCUUCUGAAGCUGCGUUCGCUUUCGCUUACGCCGCCUAAGACACGCUUAGAGGAGAUGCUUGGGGCAACUCUAGGAGUGGAAAAUACUCAAGCUGCAGGAAAGAAGGUGAUUGAGUCUUUCUUAAGUAAAAAAAUCAUCUCCUGAUAAUGAAACCUGUUUGUCGGUUGUUGUCGGGUAGUAGUAAAGACAGACUAAACUUGUAGAAGCUGAUUAAAGAUUGUUUGCGGACGUGGGUUCGACUCCCACCGUCUCCACCA